GACGAACCGUGCGAACGUUGUUCGGAAUCACUGGGCUUAAAGGGCGCGUAGGCGGCUUGGCAAGUCCGGGGUGAAAGCCCCCAGCUCAACUGGGGAAGUGCCCCGGAUACUGCCAAGCUCGAGGGAGGUAGGGGCGGAUGGAACUUCCGGUGGAGCGGUGAAAUGCGUUGAUAUCGGAAGGAACGCCGGUGGCGAAAGCGAUCCGCUGGCCCUCUACUGACGCUGAGGCGCGAAAGCCAGGGGAGCAAACGGG
RNAcentral lists this ribosomal RNA (253 nucleotides) under uncultured bacterium. RNAcentral describes it as "partial 16S ribosomal RNA". It matches the Rfam family "Bacterial small subunit ribosomal RNA", at positions 524 to 776 of the family's 1533-position model. The record is from RNAcentral.